UGGGGAAUAUUGCACAAUGGGCGCAAGCCUGAUGCAGCCAUGCCGCGUGUGUGAAGAAGGCCUUCGGGUUGUAAAGCACUUUCAGCGAGGAGGAAGGUGGUGAGCUUAAUACGCUCAUCAAUUGACGUUACUCGCAGAAGAAGCACCGGCUAACUCCGUGCCAGCAGCCGCGGUAAUACGGAGGGUGCAAGCGUUAAUCGGAAUUACUGGGCGUAAAGCGCACGCAGGCGGUUUGUUAAGUCAGAUGUGAAAUCCCCGGGCUCAACCUGGGAACUGCAUUUGAAACUGGCAAGCUAGAGUCUCGUAGAGGGGGGUAGAAUUCCAGGUGUAGCGGUGAAAUGCGUAGAGAUCUGGAGGAAUACCGGUGGCGAAGGCGGCCCCCUGGACGAAGACUGACGCUCAGGUGCGAAAGCGUGGGGCAGCAAACAGGAUUAGAUACCCUAG
RNAcentral lists this ribosomal RNA (444 nucleotides) under uncultured bacterium. RNAcentral's name for it is "partial 16S ribosomal RNA". It matches the Rfam family "Bacterial small subunit ribosomal RNA", at positions 355 to 790 of the family's 1533-position model. The record is from RNAcentral.